RNAcentral lists this ribosomal RNA (430 nucleotides) under Pseudomonadota bacterium. Its description in RNAcentral is "Proteobacteria bacterium partial 16S ribosomal RNA". It matches the Rfam family "Bacterial small subunit ribosomal RNA", at positions 355 to 776 of the family's 1533-position model. The record is from RNAcentral. Lineage: Bacteria; Pseudomonadati; Pseudomonadota.
UGGGGAAUAUUGGACAAUGGGGGGAACCCUGAUCCAGCCAUGCCGCGUGUGUGAAGAAGGCCUUACGGUUGUAAAGCACUUUAAGCGAGGAGGAGGCUCUUUUGGUUAAUACCCAAGAUGAGUGGACGUUACUCGCAGAAUAAGCACCGGCUAACUCUGUGCCAGCAGCCGCGGUAAUACAGAGGGUGCGAGCGUUAAUCGGAUUUACUGGGCGUAAAGCGUGCGUAGGCGGCUUUUUAAGUCGGAUGUGAAAUCCCCGAGCUUAACUUGGGAAUUGCAUUCGAUACUGGGAAGCUAGAGUAUGGGAGAGGAUGGUAGAAUUCCAGGUGUAGCGGUGAAAUGCGUAGAGAUCUGGAGGAAUACCGAUGGCGAAGGCAGCCAUCUGGCCUAAUACUGACGCUGAGGUACGAAAGCAUGGGGAGCAAACAGG